GGGCAUUUGGUUUAGUGGUAUGAUUCUUGUUUUGGUUGUGAGAGGUCCUGAUAUUGAUUCUCAGAGUGCCUC
This 72-nucleotide transfer RNA is filed under the name Daucus carota subsp. sativus. RNAcentral describes it as "tRNA trnX-tgg". The record is from RNAcentral. Lineage: Eukaryota; Viridiplantae; Streptophyta; Magnoliopsida; Apiales; Apiaceae.